UCCCACCCCGACGCAAGCCAAGCGACCUUUUCCGCAUUUGUAGCCAAAUUUCCUGGCCUGGGGAAGGAGUCUUAGGGGAAGCACCCGGGACCUCCUCCUUGGCUUUUUCUGGGAGUCUAGUUUCACCUAUUUCGUUUCGCCAGCAGGCGAGAGGGACAAGACUUCGGGCUCAGCUCCCACGAUCAGAACUGACCUGUCCAUGGCUAAAGCCUUUUCCAUACAGAACCAAGGUAGUCCUUCAUUCUACCUCGUGGAGAAGAUAAUUUGAAGGAUCACGAGAACUUGAAGAAUUUUUCAACAACAUAGAGCUCUCGAAUCAGAUUCUCCAGUCAGAUGAUGCCAUAUUUAUCAAGAGAUCUAGCAAUUAAAGAGUUAUCUCUGUUAAGGAAACCCAACAUCCUCGGGAAGUCCUUCUGCUUCUUUGUCCUUCACAAGAUCAACUGAAGUUCUCUAGCUGUGUAAAAAGGCUAAAUUUCAGAGACGGGGUUUCGCCAUGUUGGCCAAGAUAGUCUCGAUCUCCUGACCUCGUGAUCCGCCCGCCUUGGCCUCCCAAAGUGCUGCAAUUACAGGUGUGAGCCACCUCGCCUGGCCCAUCAAAGUCAUUUUUAAAUGAAUGCAUAAUAUUCUAUAUUAUGCAUGAAUCAUAAUUUAUUCAAUUAUUCUAUCAAUGGGUAUGCAUUCUGUUUUUUCUUCUAGAGUGUGGCAAUAAAUAAUCUUGUGUAUA
This is a non-coding RNA of Callithrix jacchus (white-tufted-ear marmoset), 724 nucleotides long. NCBI's taxonomy places the organism in Eukaryota, Metazoa, Chordata, Mammalia, Primates, Cebidae. The record is from RefSeq and is a predicted model, not a curated record.